GUAACAGAAAGCUUGCUUUUUGCUGACGAGUGGCGAACGGGUGCGUAACGCGUAUGCAACCUACCUUCUUCUAAGGAAUAGCCCAGAGAAAUUUGGAUUAAUACCUUAUGACAAUAUUUAUUCGCAUGUUUAAAUAUUUAAAACUCCGGUGGAAGAAGAUGGGCAUGCGUAACAUUAGUUUGUUGGUGAGGUAAUGGCUCACCAAGACUACGAUGUUUAGGGGGUCUGAGAGGAUGAUCCCCCACACUGGUACUGAGACACGGACCAGACUCCUACGGGAGGCAGCAGUGAGGAAUAUUGGUCAAUGGACGAAAGUCUGAACCAGCCAUGCCGCGUGAAGGAUGACGGCCCUACGGGUUGUAAACUUCUUUUGUUUAGGAAGAAACCCCUCUACGUGUAGAGGGUUGACGGUACUAUUCGGAUAAGCACCGGCUAACUCCGUGCCAGCAGCCGCGGUAAUACGGAGGGUGCGAGCGUUAUCCGGAAUUAUUGGGUUUAAAGGGUGCGUAGGCGGAAAUUUAAGUCAGUGGUGAAAGCCUGCAGCUUAACUGUAGAAUUGCCAUUGAUACUGGAUUUCUUGAAUCUAAUAGAAGUAGGCGGAAUAUGACAUGUAGCGGUGAAAUGCUUAGAUAUGUCAUAGAACACCGAUAGCGAAGGCAGCUUACUAUGUUAGUAUUGACGCUAAUGCACGAAAGCGUGGGGAGCGAACUGGAUUAGAUACCCUGGUAGUCCACGCCGUANACGAUGAUUACUCGCUAUUGGCGAUACACUGUCAGUGGCUAAGCGAAAGUGAUAAGUAAUCCACCUGGGGAGUACGAUCGCA
RNAcentral lists this ribosomal RNA (823 nucleotides) under uncultured marine bacterium. Its description in RNAcentral is "bacterial SSU rRNA". It matches the Rfam family "Bacterial small subunit ribosomal RNA", at positions 69 to 890 of the family's 1533-position model. The record is from RNAcentral.